UCGUGAGUAGCUUAGUCAGUAAAGCACCUGUCUGCAAUGCGGGAGAUCUGGGUUCAGUUCCUGGGUUGGGAA
This 72-nucleotide transfer RNA is filed under the name Bos taurus (domestic cattle). It matches the Rfam family "tRNA". From Rfam's summary of the family: Transfer RNA (tRNA) molecules are approximately 80 nucleotides in length. RNAcentral also lists the same sequence under 1 other name. Lineage: Eukaryota; Metazoa; Chordata; Mammalia; Artiodactyla; Bovidae. The record is from Rfam by way of RNAcentral.